GAACGAACGCUGGCGGCAGGCUUAACACAUGCAAGUCGAGCGCCCUCUUCGGAGGGAGCGGCAGACGGGUGAGUAACACGUGGGAAUCUACCCAUCUCUAGGGAAUAACUCAGGGAAACUUGUGCUAAUACCCUAUACGCCCUUUGGGGGAAAGAUUUAUCGGAGAUGGAUGAGCCCGCGUUGGAUUAGCUAGUUGGUGAGGUAAUGGCUCACCAAGGCGACGAUCCAUAGCUGGUCUGAGAGGAUGAUCAGCCACACUGGGACUGAGACACGGCCCAGACUCCUACGGGAGGCAGCAGUGGGGAAUAUUGGACAAUGGGCGCAAGCCUGAUCCAGCCAUGCCGCGUGUGUGAUGAAGGCCUUAGGGUUGUAAAGCACUUUCACCGAUGAAGAUAAUGACGGUAGUCGGAGAAGAAGCCCCGGCUAACUUC
Molecule: ribosomal RNA, 431 nt
Filed under: Brucellaceae bacterium 'ARUP UnID 494'
Lineage: Bacteria; Pseudomonadati; Pseudomonadota; Alphaproteobacteria; Hyphomicrobiales; Brucellaceae
Description: bacterial SSU rRNA
Rfam family: Bacterial small subunit ribosomal RNA
Source: RNAcentral